This 253-nucleotide ribosomal RNA is filed under the name uncultured bacterium. RNAcentral describes it as "partial 16S ribosomal RNA". It matches the Rfam family "Bacterial small subunit ribosomal RNA", at positions 524 to 776 of the family's 1533-position model. The record is from RNAcentral.
UACAGAGGUCCCAAGCGUUGUUCGGAUUCAUUGGGCGUAAAGGGUGCGUAGGCGGCGCGGUAAGUCGGGUGUGAAAUCUCGGGGCUUAACUCCGAAACUGCAUUCGAUACUGCCGUGCUUGAGGACUGGAGAGGAGACUGGAAUUUACGGUGUAGCGGUGAAAUGCGUAGAUAUCGUAGGGAAGACCAGUGGGGAAGGCGGGUCUCUGGACAGUUCCUGACGCUGAGGCACGAAGGCCGGGGGAGCAAACGGG